This 275-nucleotide long non-coding RNA is filed under the name Amborella trichopoda. Its description in RNAcentral is "long non-coding RNA (ATRI_LNC004599)". Lineage: Eukaryota; Viridiplantae; Streptophyta; Magnoliopsida; Amborellales; Amborellaceae. The record is from RNAcentral.
AUCAAUUGAUCUCAAUUCCCCCUCGUCAAGAAACGUGAGGGAGAGAAUUUCAAGUUUCCUCCUUCAUCUCCCUUACUCUAUCUCUUUCUCUCUCUCUUACGUUUCUAUCUCUUUCUCUCUCCAUCUUAUACGUCUCUAUAUCUAAAUCCAUAUACAACUACCAAAUUGAUAUGGUCAACAAUCUUGUGAUUUUACAAUAAAUGAUAUGGUUAACUCAUUUGUGAUAAGGAUUAAACGAAUAGUUUGUUGUUGAUAAGGUAGGUUUGGUGGAAAGU